RNAcentral lists this ribosomal RNA (521 nucleotides) under uncultured bacterium. RNAcentral's name for it is "partial 16S ribosomal RNA". It matches the Rfam family "Bacterial small subunit ribosomal RNA", at positions 355 to 892 of the family's 1533-position model. The record is from RNAcentral.
UGGGGAAUAUUGGACAAUGGGGGCAACCCUGAUCCAGCCAUGCCGCGUGAGUGAUGAAGGCCUUCGGGUUGUAAAGCUCUUUUGGCGGGGACGAUGAUGACGGUACCCGCAGAAUAAGCCCCGGCUAACUUCGUGCCAGCAGCCGCGGUAAGACGAAGGGGGCUAGCGUUGUUCGGAAUUACUGGGCGUAAAGCGAGUGUAGGCGGUUGCCGUAGUCAGGUGUGAAAGCCUUGAGCUCAACUCAAGAAAUGCACUUGAUACUGGGUGACUAGAGGACCGGAGAGGAUAGUGGAAUUCCCAGUGUAGUGGUGAAAUACGUAGAGAUUGGGAAGAACACCAGUGGCGAAGGCGGCUAUCUGGACGGUUACUGACGCUAAGACUCGAAAGCGUGGGGAGCAAAACAGGAUUAGAUACCCUGGUAGUCCACGCCGUAAAACGAUGGGUGCUAGACGUUGGCGAGCUUGCUCGUCAGUGUCGCAGCUAACGCGUUAAGCACCCCGCCUGGGGAGUACGGCCGCAAA